CCUUUGGUGGCUAGUACCGCAACACCCUUUUAUUGCAGAAUCGUGAGACGGUUCGCGGGCGUUCGUGUGGAUACCGUAGAGACGUAGUUCAUUCAGAUUGCGUUGGAGAUUCGAUCGCAUCAAUUCCAGCUUCAUAAUCGUUAUAAUCUCUUACACACUGAAUUAAUUUCUGUUUCGCAUGGAUCCUGUUUGGGUUUCG
Molecule: long non-coding RNA, 199 nt
Filed under: Panax ginseng (ginseng)
Lineage: Eukaryota; Viridiplantae; Streptophyta; Magnoliopsida; Apiales; Araliaceae
Description: long non-coding RNA (PGIN_LNC013979)
Source: RNAcentral